RNAcentral lists this ribosomal RNA (500 nucleotides) under uncultured Glomeromycotina. Its description in RNAcentral is "partial small subunit ribosomal RNA". It matches the Rfam family "Eukaryotic small subunit ribosomal RNA", at positions 591 to 1092 of the family's 1831-position model. The record is from RNAcentral. Lineage: Eukaryota; Fungi; Glomeromycota.
CCAAUAGCGUAUAUUAAAGUUGUUGCAGUUAAAAAGCUCGUAGUUGAAUUUCGGGGUUAGUAGGUUGGUCAUGCCUCUGGUAUGUACUGGUCUCACUGAUUCCUCCUUCCUGAUGAGCCGUAAUGCCAUUAAUUUGGUGUUGCGGGGAAUUUGGACUGUUACUUUGAAAAAAUUAAAGUGUUUAAAGCAAGCUAACGCUAGAAUACAUUAUCAUGGAAUAAUGAAAUAGGACGUUCGAUCCUAUUUUGUUGGUUUCUAGGAUUGACGUAAUGAUUAAUAGGGAUAGUUGGGGGCAUUAGUAUUCAAUUGUCAGAGAUGAAAUUCUUGGAUUUAUUGAAGACUAACUACUUCGAAAGCAUUUGCCAAGGAUGUUUUCAUUAAUCAAGAACGAAAGUUAGGGGAUCGAAGACGAUCAGAUACCGUCGUAGUCUUAACCAUAAACUAUGCCGACUAGUGAUCGGAUGAUGUUAAUUUUUUAAUGACUCAUUCGGCGCCUUACG